CCCUUAGAUGUUCUGGGCCGCACGCGCGCUACACUGAUGCAUUCAACGAGUCUAAAACCUGCUCUGAUAGGGGUGGGUAAUCUUUUGAAUGUGCAUCGUGAUUGGGAUAGAUGAUUGCAAUUUUUCAUCUUCAACGAGGAAUGCCUAGUAAACGCAAGUCAUCAGCUUGCAUUGAUUACGUCCCUGCCCUUUGUACACACCGCCCGUCGCUCCUACCGACUGAAUGAUCCGAUGAAUAUCAUGGAUUGAGGAUGCAAGCAGGUUCGCCUGUCUUCAUCUUCGAGAAGUGAAGUAAAUCUUAUCAUUUAGAGGAAGGAGAAGUCGUAACA
This 329-nucleotide ribosomal RNA is filed under the name uncultured eukaryote. RNAcentral describes it as "partial 18S ribosomal RNA". It matches the Rfam family "Eukaryotic small subunit ribosomal RNA", at positions 1470 to 1796 of the family's 1831-position model. The record is from RNAcentral.